ACAACACGUGACUGCUGGUCAGGUUUUUCUUACUUAGGGGAGGAUGAGGGGGCAUAGCUGGUUCCGCUUGGGGAGAGUGGUAGAUAACAUCUGGAAUGCCCGGCUCGAGUGUCCUCUGCUCCCCACCUACUCCUCUUCUCCAAUCUGAGCCUACCCUGGCCUCCUGUACACUGUGCUAGGGACAGGGCUGUCCCACAGGUGCCAUGUUGGGUUAUCUCGCUGCUGUUGGCUGGUUUCACUCUGGAGGUUGGCACCAUGGACACAGCUCAGCGUUGCUCUGGCGCAUAUCCUCCUGAGCCACACCCCACGUCUG
This 313-nucleotide long non-coding RNA is filed under the name Androctonus crassicauda. The record is from RNAcentral. Lineage: Eukaryota; Metazoa; Arthropoda; Arachnida; Scorpiones; Buthidae.